This is a long non-coding RNA of Drosophila miranda, 216 nucleotides long. RefSeq lists it as uncharacterized. The transcript has 2 exons. The record is from RefSeq and is a predicted model, not a curated record. NCBI's taxonomy places the organism in Eukaryota, Metazoa, Arthropoda, Insecta, Diptera, Drosophilidae.
GCAGGAGCAGGAGGUUCGGGAGGAUCCGGACUUAAACAUGGUUACUGAAGACAUUCUUAGUACUGAAAGUGGAAAGGACAAUUUGAAAACACCGAUUUCCCCUAAGGCUUCGCCCCCCGUGCAUGGCAGCAAGUGCAAACUAUGCGGCAAAAUGAUUGGAAGGUUGAGCACCUUGGGAAACCACGUAAUGAACCAACAUUACACAGCAAUAAGAGG